AAUAUUUAGACUUAAUUCAUGGUAAAAUGGGCUUUUAAGAAAAGGACACCUCUGUCAUUCAUGUGCUCUCUCUGAGGGAGGCAUAGGUUACAGAGACAGGAGAGAUGUGAGUCUAUUGUGCUAGGUCCACUUGUGUUUUAAGUGUGAAUCAGUUUUCCUUGCUCACUCCCUAAAUUCUGGGUGGUUGAUCUUACACUGUGUCUCGUCUGGGUUCUUCUCUUUCAGAAACACAAUGCGUGAACCUGCUGCAGGGUGGAGAAGAGACAACUUGAGCCUUUUCCCGCACACUUGUGCACUCCUUCUAGAUGUGAUCUUGGAUGAGGUUUUCCUGUUUUGCUGGGCAGGCCUCUGUGACAUGGCCCUCAGUAACCACCUAUGGUACAGACUGCACGUUCUACUAUGGCUCUGGCUCUAGUCACAGAGGAAGGCAGACUGUGGACAGUUACUGACCUAUUGAACAGGCUGUUAUAAGUACUGAUAUGGACUCAGCCUACAUCAAUUGACAGAAAAUUAUAACUGGCUGUAGAAUGAUGUAUUGUGUGACAAAGACACCUCAAAGUGACUGUGCCUUCCCACCUGCCCUGUCUUCUCCAUGAACUGCACUGAGGCAGAAAAAUGCUGCUCCGUCACUAUACGACAGAAUCCACUGUGGUGAAAGGCAGGAGUGUUUACAAGGAAGCAGCUCCUAUCUGGGAAGGAGCCAUGAGUGCAGGAGGAAGAGCUCCGAAAAGAAAACCCUUUCUUUGCAGGGACAAAACCAAGUUUAUUACCAGGAAGCAUGGGGGACACAAUGGAUGGGCAGAUGGGACAUAUUCUUGAAAAAUGAUGGCCAGAGCCUCCUCCUCCUUGCCCUGUCCUGAUGAGGUCUACCUGGUGUGAGAGGCUUGGUGGACAGCAACUGAAGUCUUUAAGCAGUCAUUUCCCCCGUGCUUGAUUGGAAAAUUUCUCUAUGGGACUCAGAGAACGGCAACAGCCCGUUCCUUUCUUCGUAGUUUGAUGUGGGAAAAGGGGUUUAUGGACAAUUUCUGGCUGGUGUUUGUUUCUGAUUUCUCUAUAUCCGAAGGAAUGGUUGUGCCCCAUGAAGCUGCUAUGUGGCCAGCAGACCAUUCCAACAUUUGUUGUGAUUUUAUUUGGGUCACAGAAUCUCUGGUGAGCAAGACCUGACUCCUGCUUUUCUCCAAUUCCCCUGUACUCAGAAGGAAAGUCACUUCCCUUGGGGACGAGGGAGCUGGU
RNAcentral lists this small RNA (1233 nucleotides) under Rattus norvegicus (Norway rat). RNAcentral describes it as "uncharacterized LOC108353122". Lineage: Eukaryota; Metazoa; Chordata; Mammalia; Rodentia; Muridae. The record is from RNAcentral.